UCCAGACUCCUACGGGAGGCAGCAGUGGGGAAUAUUGCACAAUGGGGGAAACCCUGAUGCAGCGACGCCGCGUGAGUGAAGAAGUAAUUCGGUAUGUAAAGCCCUAUCGGCAGGGAAGAAAUUGGACGGUACCUGACUAAGAAGCCCCGGCUAACUACGUGCCAGCAGCCGCGGUAAUACGUAGGGGGCAAGCGUUAUCCGGAUUUACUGGGUGUAAAGGGGGCGCAGACGGCGAUGCAAGCCAGGAGUGAAAGCCCGGGGCCCAACCCCGGGACUGCUCUUGGAACUGCGUGGCUGGAGUGCAGGAGGGGCAGGCGGAAUUCCUGGUGUAGCGGUGAAAUGCGUAGAUAUCAGGAGGAACACCGGUGGCGAAGGCGGCCUGCUGGACUGCAACUGACGUUGAGGCCCGAAAGCGUGGGGAGCAAACAGGAUUAGAUACCCCCGUAA
RNAcentral lists this ribosomal RNA (447 nucleotides) under uncultured bacterium. Its description in RNAcentral is "bacterial SSU rRNA". It matches the Rfam family "Bacterial small subunit ribosomal RNA", at positions 330 to 793 of the family's 1533-position model. The record is from RNAcentral.